This 520-nucleotide ribosomal RNA is filed under the name uncultured bacterium. RNAcentral's name for it is "partial 16S ribosomal RNA". It matches the Rfam family "Bacterial small subunit ribosomal RNA", at positions 29 to 523 of the family's 1533-position model. The record is from RNAcentral.
AACGAACGCUGGCGGCGUGCCUAACACAUGCAAGUCGAGCGCGAACGUCACUUCGGUGGCAAGUAGAGCGGCGCACGGGUGAGUAAUACGUGGGUAAUCUGCCCUAAGGCCUGGAAUAACCCGGGGGAAACCCGGGCUAAUACCGGAUAAGACCACAGAGCUUCUGCUUGGUGGUAAAAGCGGGGGCCCUCUUCGGAGGCCUCGCACCAUGGGAUGAGCCCGCGGGCCAUCAGCUAGGUGGUAGGGUAACGGCUUACCAAGGCUAAGACGGAUAGCUGGUCUGAGAGGAUGAUCAGCCACACUGGAACUGAGGUACGGUCCAGACUCCUACGGGAGGCAGCAGUGGGGAAUAUUGCGCAAUGGGCGAAAGCCUGACGCAGCAACGCCGUGUGAGUGAUGAAGGUCUUCGGAUCGUAAAGCUCUGUCGGCAGGAACGAAGGAUGUUCUUUUAAAUAGAGAGAGCAUUUGACGGUACCUGCAAAGGAAGCACCGGCUAACUCUGUGCCAGCCGCCGCAGUAA